RNAcentral lists this ribosomal RNA (253 nucleotides) under uncultured bacterium. RNAcentral's name for it is "partial 16S ribosomal RNA". It matches the Rfam family "Bacterial small subunit ribosomal RNA", at positions 524 to 776 of the family's 1533-position model. The record is from RNAcentral.
UACGAAGGGGGCUAGCGUUGUUCGGAAUUACUGGGCGUAAAGGGCGCGUAGGCGGCUGUGCAAGUCAGGUGUGAAAGCCCUGGGCUCAACCCAGGAUGUGCACUUGAUACUGCACGGCUAGAGUGUCGGAGAGGAUGGUGGAAUUCCCAGUGUAGAGGUGAAAUUCGUAGAUAUUCGGAGGAACACCAGUGGCGAAGGCGGCUCACUGGUCCAUUACUGACGCUGAGGUGCGAAAGCGUGGGGAGCAAACAGG